UUGAGGAUCUGAAAUGGAAGAACUGACGCCGACGGUCAGUGAAGAGGAGGAGGAAGAGUUGGCAAAGGGAGCCAUGCUCUGGUCCAUCCAGGAGGCUUUAGAGAAGCAGACCUUGCAGAUUGGUGCAUCUGCCUGUGGAGCCACCGCUGUGGUGGACGUGCUGAAGGCUCUCACAGUGGACGUGGCCCCCGAGGAAGCCGACCGUUGUGUUAAAACCUGUCUAAGGAGGAACGAGGCACCGCUGCCUGACUACCUGCUGUCCCGGAGUGAAGCUGGUGCAACUCACGCUCAGCUUAUCCAGGGCGCAGAGGAGGCGAGUCGGGGGAAAGUGUCAGGCCGCUUCUUUCACCUUUACCCUCGGCGAAGGGUCAAGCUGGUCACCUGGCUCGCACGCUGGAUCCGUAAAGGUGCUGUUCCCGUGGCAACCAUGAACAUGCAGCUGGCUGUGCCUGCUGGGGAGGAGGUGCCAGAUGCUUGGCACCAUCAACUGAUCUUUGGUGUGGCGCCAAAUGCAGUUUUCAUGACAAAUCCUCUGGAUGUUGUGAGUGAGGACAUCUUGCACCAGAGACUCUGCAGCGAGUCGGUGCUCCUGAUCCGGCGAGAAGAUGUCCUGCAGCGCCUCACACCUGCCUGCUGCCUGGCCAACCUAUCUGAACCGCGAUGGGAAGCGCUGGAUGUCCAAGGUCAGGUGAGAAUGAUGUGCCAAGAAGAAGAGGAGGAUGGGUCCAAGUCAGCACACAUCAGGAUCCCUGCAGCGUACAGUUCAGGCAUCACACUUUUCGCUCUGCAACAGUCGGCGCUGGGUCAGGAGCUCAUCAGGGCUCCUGAGCUCCCUUUGUUGGGUUAGCAUUUAAUAUCAGUAUAAAUGGGACUAAGCUGAAGAAAAUGGUUGUCAGGUGUUUUUGACAAUACCAAUAUUCACAACUAAAUUUGACCAGGUUAUGCUUGGUGGUCUGCUUAGUGUGUGUAAAACAUUUUGGACUUUUUCAUGGUAUCUUUUUAGUAAACACGCAGUAUUUUGGGAUAUGUAAUGCAUAUUUCUCUGUAUUUUGCAUUAAUAAGGGAUAAAACAUCACAUUCAUAUAAGGUUAAUAAACAUCACAUUUUUUUAUAUUUUGACAAAAAUAUUGAGCCCUGUUGAUGAACAUACAAUUAUGAGUAAAACUUUUGAAGUCACUGUUUAAGAUCGCUGUUUGAUAUUUUAUUUUAAGUACAUUUUAACCGUUAAAAUUACAAAAACGAACGGCGAAUAGCAUUACACAAAACAUUCAACAUGUCACAUGAGUUUUAGUAAGCUAAAUCAAUUACUGAAUGAUUAACUACAAUUCCCAUGAUUCAUUUGGCCGUUGCGGCCAAAGGAAGUUAAGAAACUUUCCCAAAAAAAAGCAAAACUCGGCAGCAGGAUUUGGAGGGUAAGAGGUAGACCUGUGAAUUCAUUAAACACAAAAUGGGGCGACUCCGAGUUUGUUUUAGCGCCCCCAGUUCGGCUUCGCGGUGAUAAUUAGAUCCACGUGGUUUGUAUGUGCGUGUGUAAACGUGAGUGUUGCAUUCUGCAGGCAGAGGAGACUGAUCGGGGCUCCGGCUGGAUCCAGCUUCUUUCUUUGAAUCUGCGGCUAGAGGUGAGUCUUGAAAACGACUAAUGCAAAAUAUGUCGGUGCUAAAGCUGAUUGAGCCAAAAAUAAACACUUUAGCAAUGUUACGAUAUGCACUUUGAAAAGGAGCCUUACUCGUAUUUGUUUGAGAUGUUUUUGUGGAUGACGCUAGCCAUACUGACUAAAAAAAACCAAAAACCUACUGUAUUAUUGCGCUUUGACCUUAAACUGUUACUUAGAAGUUUUCUGGUCUUUUGAUAUUAACUUUUGUUAAAAAUGCAGUAUUAGGGGCUCGUGAAUUAGGGUAAAAUGGCUGCCCACUUAAAGCCCAUCUAAAGGCAAGUGAUGUUCUCUCCUGACAUGAGUCACAUGAGUGGAGUGAUUCCACUUAAAGUCGAUGAAGACAAUCAUAGAGGUCGAGACUCGGCCUUUUCUGCUGUCCUGAGACAGUCGGUGCAGCUUUUAGCCACUUUAAUCUGCACCCACUGGCCUGUGGGGGAGUUGCAUCAUCAAGAUUAGGAUGAUCUGACCUAUGAUCCUGAUUUGUUUGAGGUCUUUUUUUUGUUUUGUGCUCAUUUCUUGGAACAAAAUGUUUGAGCUAAGAAUUUAAAGUCAAGUCCCUAUUUACUAACAUAAAAAUCAAUUAGAAUAUUGCCUUCCUGAGAUUACAAUCAGACUGUGACACUCCUGUCUCAUUGGAGUUAAUCAACACGACGUCUCAAAGGAAAAGCUCUGCAAGGAAGCACAACAUUCAUCAGCCAGGAAAAAUGAUCUGUUUGGUCCCGGGGGCUCCAGAGUUGGAUGUCCAAAGACCAUUUCUGUUCUGCUCCAAUACAUCUGUCCUCCACUGACAUUGCAAAAUAAUUUGCAGCCUAUAAAGGUCAGCGCUUGUUCACAGCUCAGGACGCCACUUUCGCUAUAGGUCAAUACGUACACGCAAUUAAACGGGUGUUUUAUGAGCCAAGCGAAGGCCAUUGUCAAAGUCGACUCAUU
Takifugu rubripes (torafugu) is the source of this 2585-nucleotide long non-coding RNA. NCBI's taxonomy places the organism in Eukaryota, Metazoa, Chordata, Actinopteri, Tetraodontiformes, Tetraodontidae. The record is from Ensembl.